GUCUACGGCCAUGCCAUUCUGAAUAAGCCCGAUCCCGUCUGAUCUCGGAAGCUAAGCAGGAUCGGGCCUGGUUAGUACUUGGGUAGGAGGCCACCUAUGAAGACCAGGUGCUGUAGGUG
Pteropus vampyrus (large flying fox) is the source of this 119-nucleotide ribosomal RNA. The record is from Ensembl. Lineage: Eukaryota; Metazoa; Chordata; Mammalia; Chiroptera; Pteropodidae.